AAGUCGAGGGGCAGCAUGCAGGAAGCUUGCUUUCUGCGAUGGCGACCGGCGGAUGGGUGAGUAACGCGUAUCCAACCUGCCCCGUGCUCGGGGACAGCCCUUAGAAAUGAGGAUUAACCCCCGAUGGCGUAGGGAUUCCGCAUGGUAUUCCUACUAAAGUUUACGGCACGGGAUGGGGAUGCGUUCCAUUAGAUAGUAGGCGGGGCAACGGCCCACCUAGUCUACGAUGGAUAGGGGUUCUGAGAGGAAGGUCCCCACAUUGGAACUGAGACACGGUCCAAACUCC
RNAcentral lists this ribosomal RNA (286 nucleotides) under uncultured Bacteroidales bacterium. RNAcentral's name for it is "partial 16S ribosomal RNA". It matches the Rfam family "Bacterial small subunit ribosomal RNA", at positions 59 to 339 of the family's 1533-position model. Lineage: Bacteria; Pseudomonadati; Bacteroidota; Bacteroidia; Bacteroidales. The record is from RNAcentral.